This 118-nucleotide ribosomal RNA is filed under the name Pteropus alecto (black flying fox). Lineage: Eukaryota; Metazoa; Chordata; Mammalia; Chiroptera; Pteropodidae. The record is from RNAcentral.
GUCUAUGGCAUGCUACCCCAAACACGCCCAAUCUUGUCUGAUCUCGGAAGCUAAGCAGGGUCGGGCCUGGUUAGUACUUGAAUGGGAGACCAUCUAGAAAUACCAGGUGCUGUAGGUG